Molecule: non-coding RNA, 136 nt
Organism: Hordeum vulgare subsp. vulgare (domesticated barley)
Lineage: Eukaryota; Viridiplantae; Streptophyta; Magnoliopsida; Poales; Poaceae
Source: Rfam
CAAUUACUUCCUCCGUUCCAAAAUUCUUGUNUUAGAUUUGUCUAGAUAUGAAUGUAUCAAGUCACGUUUUAGUAUUUAGAUACAUCUAUUUUUAAACAAACCUAAGACAGGAAUUUUAGGAUGAAGGGAGUGGUAU